Molecule: ribosomal RNA, 253 nt
Filed under: uncultured bacterium
Lineage: Bacteria
Description: partial 16S ribosomal RNA
Rfam family: Bacterial small subunit ribosomal RNA
Source: RNAcentral
UACAGAGGGUGCAAGCGUUAAUCGGAUUUACUGGGCGUAAAGGGCGCGUAGGUGGUUGUGUAAGUGAGAUGUGAAAUCCCCGGGCUUAACCUGGGACGUGCAUCUUAGACUGCAUAACUGGAGUGUAGUAGAGGGUAGUGGAAUUUCCGGUGUAGCGGUGAAAUGCGUAGAUAUCGGAAGGAACACCAGUGGCGAAGGCGGCUACCUGGACUAACACUGACACUGAGGCGCGAGAGCGUGGGGAGCAAACAGG